AGUGAACGCUGGCGGUAGGCCUAACACAUGCAAGUCGAACGGCAGCACAGUAAGAGCUUGCUCUUACGGGUGGCGAGUGGCGGACGGGUGAGGAAUACAUCGGAAUCUACUUUUUCGUGGGGGAUAACGUAGGGAAACUUACGCUAAUACCGAAUACGACCUACGGGUGAAAGCAGGGGAUCUUCGGACCUUGCGCGAUUGAAUUAGCCGAUGUCGGAUUAGCUAGUUGGCGGGGUAAAGGCCCACCAAGGCGACGAUCCGUAGCUGGUCUGAGAGGAUGAUCAGCCACACUGGAACUGAGACACGGUCCAGACUCCUACGGGAGGCAGCAGUGGGGAAUAUUGGACAAUGGGCGCAAGCCUGAUCCAGCCAUACCGCGUGGGUGAAGAAGGCCUUCGGGUUGUAAAGCCCUUUUGUUGGGAAAGAAAAGCAGCAGGUUAAUACCCCGCUGUUCUGACGGUACCCAAAGAAUAAGCACCGGCUAACUUCGUG
Molecule: ribosomal RNA, 492 nt
Filed under: uncultured bacterium
Lineage: Bacteria
Description: partial 16S ribosomal RNA
Rfam family: Bacterial small subunit ribosomal RNA
Source: RNAcentral